UAGAAACUUCUGCUGUGGAUGGCUGUUCCU
RNAcentral lists this non-coding RNA (30 nucleotides) under Mus musculus (house mouse). Lineage: Eukaryota; Metazoa; Chordata; Mammalia; Rodentia; Muridae. The record is from RNAcentral.